ACUAUACAGAAAAUCAGUAUUCUAGCCGUAUAUGAGUUACUUAGGAGUGUAGAGAGGAGAGAUUAAACGAACAAACAAACAAAAAACCCACACAGGUCAAGAAAACAGGGCCCAACAUCAGACACUGACAGCCUCCCGACCUGCAGUGCAAAGUGAUUCCAAGACCCUCGUCAUUCCCUGUCUCAGGAAAGAUGGUACCCACGCCAAGCUCAGCCAAGAACGGCUUCCACACCGGCUUAAUUUUCUGAACCUGUUCUUGUGGUGCUGAUAGGGAGGGUGGUCCGUAAGAGAGGAGAGCCCACUGAUCAAGUUGCUGUUUGUUUAUUGAUUGAUUUUUUUUUUUUAUUGGUCCCUGGCCUAGGAUGAGCUAAGAAAUCUUUUGCGUACCCUGACCUGACUUCAUUCAUCCUUCCACACUUCUACACCCUUUUCCUUCCUGCGCGGGGUCCUGAGCAAGUCUAAAUCAAGCAGUGCUUAGAGCCUCCCACAAUGGGCCUUCAACCAUAUUUGGAAGAAAAGAAGGACUCCAGAGAGGAAAUGGUUACCUGUGCUUACAGGCUGGCUGCACCUCAAGCGCUGACUCAGCAGGAGGGAGCUCUGGGUACCCCUGUCCCGAAGGCCCCUGAGCAAGGAUGUCAGAAAGAGACUAAAACGGGGGGGGGGGGGGGGCUGUCUCCGAGGGCCCUGGAGCAGGGUAGGAACCUACAUGGGAUUCACUACCUGCAUUUGAAAGAAUAUUCGCAAUUGUGGGUGUUACCAUUCACAGUAGUAUACUUUGAAGUUGUCCAUCGAAUCUGUAGGCAUACUCAAUUGGAAAAUAAAUAAAACCUAAAAGAUCAUAGGUGGCCAUGAGGGACUCCAGGGAACAUUCUCUGGGAUGGAGAGGCCUCUAGGGUCAAGCUAUUCAGUAUGGAUACAUCCUCAGAUCCAGGACCUCCACCCUCUGGUGCAGUAUUUCCAGGAUAUUAGUGGGGGACUCUGGACCAUUCAAGCCUUGGAACAAGUCUAGCCCAACGACUGGCUAACUUUGCUGCUGACAGAAGCCUGACCCAGCCCUCACCUCGUAGACCUUACAGGAAUAUGUUCUCAGCUCACUACUCCACAUUUCUGGCUCUGUGACCUCACCAAACACCUGCCUAUCUCAGAGCAUUGCAUCUAUUGGUGUCGAUUUCUGCCUCUCUCUUACUAGUCUCUUGCACAACCCAUGAACUGGAUGAAAGCAAGAACGGGAUCUUUUGGGUUAUGUGGGGGACAUCAGGACUUAACUGUGGUCAUGCAGCUGGCACAGCCUGCUCGCCAGCUCCUAUUCCCUUGCCCACCUGUUCCUUGACCUUGGACACCCAACCCCUUUUUCUUGGCUUCAGUAUUGUCCUCUCUAAGAGCAGAGAUUAGGAUUAAUAAAUAUAUGACAUGCUUGUCACAGGAACUAAUG
RNAcentral lists this long non-coding RNA (1432 nucleotides) under Mus pahari (shrew mouse). RNAcentral describes it as "lncRNA (MGP_PahariEiJ_G0004225.1)". Lineage: Eukaryota; Metazoa; Chordata; Mammalia; Rodentia; Muridae. The record is from RNAcentral.